RNAcentral lists this small nuclear RNA (107 nucleotides) under Myotis brandtii (Brandt's bat). The record is from RNAcentral. Lineage: Eukaryota; Metazoa; Chordata; Mammalia; Chiroptera; Vespertilionidae.
GUGCUCGCUUCAGCAACACAUAUACUAAAAUUGGAACAAUACAGAGAAGUUUAGCAUGGCCCCUGCGCAAGGAUGACAGGCAAAUUCGUGAAGCGUUCCAUAUUUUA